Molecule: ribosomal RNA, 469 nt
Filed under: uncultured bacterium
Lineage: Bacteria
Description: partial 16S ribosomal RNA
Rfam family: Bacterial small subunit ribosomal RNA
Source: RNAcentral
UAGGGAAUCUUCCACAAUGGACGCAAGUCUGAUGGAGCAACGCCGCGUGAGUGAAGAAGGUUUUCGGACCGUAAAGCUCUGUUGUUGGUGAAGAAGGAUAGAGGUAGUAACUGGCCUUUAUUUGACGGUAAUCAACCAGAAAGUCACGGCUAACUACGUGCCAGCAGCCGCGGUAAUACGUAGGUGGCAAGCGUUGUCCGGAUUUAUUGGGCGUAAAGCGAGCGCAGGCGGAAGAAUAAGUCUGAUGUGAAAGCCCUCGGCUUAACCGAGGAAUUGCAUCGGAAACUGUUUUCUUGAGUGCAGAAGAGGAGAGUAGAACUCCAUGUGUAGCGGUGGAAUGCGUAGAUAUAUGGAAGAAUACCAGUGGCGAAGGCGGCUCUCUGGUCUGCAACUGACGCUGAGGCUCGAAAGCAUGGGUAGCGAACAGGAUUAGAUACCCUGGUAGUCCAUGCCGUAAACGAUGAGUGCU